This 214-nucleotide long non-coding RNA is filed under the name Zonotrichia albicollis (white-throated sparrow). RNAcentral describes it as "lncRNA (ENSZALG00000008442.1)". Lineage: Eukaryota; Metazoa; Chordata; Aves; Passeriformes; Passerellidae. The record is from RNAcentral.
AUCACUAAAGAGAGGAAGUGAGCACAAAUAUGAGGACAGGAGAAAAAUAGGGGCCAGAAAAUAAGCAGGAAACUGAAGUCCUAAUUUUAUGGGGAACUACAUAGGAAUGGAAACAGAAAAGCUGAAGAAGAUAAGCUAAUAAACAGGGGAAUAAAUGAAGAAAAAUAAGAAGACCUGACCUUUUUGGCUGUGGAGGAGAAAUCCCUGAGUGUAU